Molecule: unclassified non-coding RNA, 365 nt
Filed under: fungal sp.
Lineage: Eukaryota; Fungi
Description: partial internal transcribed spacer region
Rfam family: Eukaryotic small subunit ribosomal RNA (bases 1-46)
Source: RNAcentral
AAGUCGUAACAAGGUUUCCGUAGGUGAACCUGCGGAAGGAUCAUUACUUGAUAUCAAUGCUACCACAAAGCAGCAUUUGAUUUCAAACACAAAACACCAAUCUGUGCUCUUCUUUUCUUUUUCCACUCCGCACUCCAAAGGCAGCUUUUUUGGGCUGUCCAUUUUUCAUCGACUGAGUCUGUUGAGUGUGGAAUGCAUAAUUCCCUCUCAUCUGUGGACAGCUUAACUAAUUCUUAAGUUGUUCCACUUUUGUAACAAUCCAUACUGUUACUCAGCUAUCAACACACAUUUAACACUGUGUGCUGUAGCUGAUUACACAUUAAUGGAAGCAAACACAACUCCUAACAAUGGAUAUCUCGGCUCUC